RNAcentral lists this transfer RNA (76 nucleotides) under Candidatus Enterococcus lemimoniae. Its description in RNAcentral is "tRNA-Thr". It matches the Rfam family "tRNA". From Rfam's summary of the family: Transfer RNA (tRNA) molecules are approximately 80 nucleotides in length. Their secondary structure includes four short double-helical elements and three loops (D, anti-codon, and T loops). Lineage: Bacteria; Bacillati; Bacillota; Bacilli; Lactobacillales; Enterococcaceae. The record is from RNAcentral.
GCAGGAUUAGCUCAGUAUGGUAGAGCGUUACAUGUGUAUAUAUGUAAAGUCCCUGGUUCAAUUCCAGGAUCCUUAA